RNAcentral lists this microRNA precursor (127 nucleotides) under Myotis lucifugus (little brown bat). RNAcentral describes it as "mir-9193 microRNA precursor family". It matches the Rfam family "mir-9193 microRNA precursor family". The record is from Rfam by way of RNAcentral. Lineage: Eukaryota; Metazoa; Chordata; Mammalia; Chiroptera; Vespertilionidae.
CAUGCACCGGUGGGGUCCCUCGGCCUGGCCUGUGCCCUCUCGCAAUCCGGGACCCCUCAGGGGAUGUCCUACUGCCGGUUUUGGCCAGAUCCCCACAGGCCAGGCUGAGGGACCCCACCAGUGCACA